This 613-nucleotide ribosomal RNA is filed under the name Cylindera labioaenea. Its description in RNAcentral is "partial 16S ribosomal RNA". It matches the Rfam family "Bacterial large subunit ribosomal RNA", at positions 1844 to 2741 of the family's 2925-position model. Lineage: Eukaryota; Metazoa; Arthropoda; Insecta; Coleoptera; Carabidae. The record is from RNAcentral.
UUUAAGGUCUAACCUGCCCAAUGAGGGUUUAAAUGGCCGCAGUAUUUUGACUGUGCAAAGGUAGCAUAAUUAUUAGUUUUUUAAUUGAAAGCUUGUAUGAAGGGUUGGACGAGAUAAAAUCUGUCUUUAUUUAAGUUACAGUAGAAUUUAACUUUUAAGUCAAAAGGCUUAAAUGUAUAUAAAAGACGAGAAGACCCUAUAGAUCUUUAUUUAAUUAAUAUUUUGAUAAUUUAGGAUUAUUUUAAUUUAAAGUUUUAAUUAAAUUUUAUUGGGGUAAUAUAAAGAUUAAAGUAAUUCUUUUUGUUAUAUACAUUGAUUUAUGAAUAUAUGAUCCAGUAUUGCUGAUUAUAAGAUUAAGUUACCUUAGGGAUAACAGCGUAAUUUUUUUGGAGAGCUCGUAUCGAUAAAAAAGUUUGCGACCUCGAUGUUGGAUUAAAAAUUAGCUUGGGUGCAGAAGCUCAAGAAUUUGGUCUGUUCGACCAUUAAAUUUUUACAUGAUCUGAGUUCAGACCGGCGUAAGCCAGGUCGGUUUCUAUCUUUAUUUAAUUAAAAUAUUUUAGUACGAAAGGACCAAAUAUUUAAUAUAGUUAUAUUUAUUUAUUUGAAUAAUAUU